UCAUCAGCAUCACCACAUACAUCUUUGGUGCUUUCUUUUUUUUUUCCUUUUAUUCUUACCUUCCUUGCAUUCUCCAGAACGGAAACGAGCAUCGAUCAUCAACCUUCACAGCCACGCUACUGCGCACUGGCACGCACGGAGGACUCGCAACAAGAUCAACAACACCCGCAAAAGCACAAGGAGGGGCAGGCAGACGCACAUACGCCUCCUCCCACCAUCUUUUCUCUAGAAGAGCACGCCGCCGGCGCUCAGGAGAACGCACACGCACACGCAGUUGUGGUGACAGCGUCGCUGAAAAAUGGCUCAGCAGCAUCCACACCGACGCUACGAGGGGUACGCAUACCCUACCGAGUUCCAAUCCGCGCCGACAGGCAGUCGCGACAGUGGUGGCGGUGCGUACUUCGGCAGAGAGCGGAUACCGUCGCCCUCUGCUACCUCACUCUCCGGCGCCACCGGCCUCGUUCGGCGCUCUGUGCAGCACACUGGUGCCGCCGCCGUGGCCACUGCUUCCACCGGUGCCAACGCUGCCAGCUACCAGGGAUCGUACGGCUACUUUCACGGGCAAGGUAACAGCAUUGACAUCACCAGCGGCUACAACAGCGAUGCCGGGAGCUCGACGUCAAACCCGCUAUACGGAGGCGGCGGCAGAAGCGGGUACAUAGUCCCGAAUACCUCGUCACAGCACCAGGAGGUGGUGGUGGGAACUAGUCGAAGCUCCGCUGGGGCGUCCGGUGCGAACUCUACAGAGCCUUCGCCUGGUGUGUGGGCAGCAGAGCCCGGCGUGAACGGCCUGACCGCGAGCGGCCGUCGGCUCUCAAAGCUUCCGCCGCGACUGCAUGAGCCUGGAAUUUUCCAGCCCUCCAGCGACGGCAGCGCUGGCUCAAUCACGAACAGCACCAUCGGCAGCAACUCAGCGCGUCCACCGACUCAGCAAACGUUUCUGCCGUCGGAGCCGUUAAUGCAGCCCCUGCCGCUUGCUGCAUCACAGCACCGUCGGCAUCAUUAUCAGCAGCAGCCAUAUGUGGUGUCGAUGCCGUCGUCGGCGGCCAGCAACCUGCAGCGGGGGACGGCAAGCGGGGCGGCGCCGCCGGAGGCUGCAUUUGUGCAGCACAGCAGCUCGUGCGCGGCGAGCCCUAUCAAUAUGAGUGGCCCGCGCAUGCCAGCUGCCUACGAUGCUUCGGCCAGUCCGAACAUUGCCGGCGGCGCUGUGUUCGGUAGCGGCCGUACGAGUGGGUUUUUGGGUCGCCUCAUAGCGCAGGUUCUGCCGGUGGUAGACGACAGUGCCGGAGACCCUGGCAGCGGGAUCGGUGCUGGCAGUGCAGCCCCCAUCGGUGAGCGUCCCCUGCAUCAGCUCCGCUUUGGAAACCCCGCCGACGACCUGCCGUUACUCGAGGAACUUGGUAUCUUUCCACGGCAUAUAUUGGGCAAGGCGCGCGCCGUGCUGAACCCCUUCAAGUCAAUAAGCGUCGACGCCGCGAAGGACACCGACCUGGCAGGUCCCGUCCUCUUCGCCCUCUCGUUAGCGGUGCUGCUAUCACUGCGUGGCAAAAUACAGUUCAGCGCGAUCUACGGCCUUUUCAUGCUCGGCGUCGGGUUCUUCAAGAUGCUCCUGUCACUCAUGCAGCCGCGCGGCGGUGUCCCACUACAGUUUGUCGCGAGUACGAUCGGCUACGGUCUGCUUCCGACGGUGCUGCUCGCCGCCGUGCGCACCGUUGGCUCGUGGAUUAUGGGCCUCCGCGGCGUGCUGCCUCUUACGCUGCUGAUGGUUGCGUGGUCGUCGUGGUGCGGAACGACGCUCGUGGCGAAGGGGCUAGGGAUGGAGGAGCAGCGCUACCUUGUCCUGUACCCGAUGCUUCUCUUCUACUCCACCUUCAAUGUUGUGGCCGUGUACUAGGCGGCUGUGUGCGUGUCGAUGCAAGGCUUGAGUGGAGGGGGAGAUAAAGAGGCGGCGCAAGUGCGCUGGUGCUCGCUUUUCUCCUUCCUCUCACAGCGCGCGUCCGGGUGCGUGUGACUGUGCCCCUCAGUGCCUGGCGAGGAGCCAGACGAUGUGGUGAAUCGACAAAUCAGGCUGAGGGAGGGCAGGGCAGCAACGGCGGAGGGUGAAGGGAGACACACCCCGCGGAGAUCGCAGACAUCACUGGGCUCACAGAGACGACUGCGGCUGCACCACCGUUGUGAACCCUUUCAUUUUGUGUGUCCUUCUCCCUCCCUGCUCCUUCCACUGUGUGUAUGCGUAUGUGUCUGUGUGUGUGUCUGUGUAUGUGUGUGCUAGCAUGUUAAGCAAUGGCUUGCGUUCCCUCUACCUCCCUCCCUCCCUCCCUCCCUCCCCACACUUUCUAUUUACCCGUGACGGAACCCCUCCUUCUCUUCCCUUGCCUCGCCAGGCCACGAGAACGGCCCUUAUCAACUGACAGCAGCCAGCCUAUCCACGCAACCAUUUUUGUGUGCAAGUGUGAAUGCGGCAUGAGGAGGAGGGGAGUGUGCGGCUGCC
Molecule: unclassified non-coding RNA, 2491 nt
Filed under: Leishmania donovani
Lineage: Eukaryota; Euglenozoa; Kinetoplastea; Trypanosomatida; Trypanosomatidae
Description: gene:LdHU3.26.2900(CDS-product:hypothetical_prote in_conserved)
Source: RNAcentral